Molecule: long non-coding RNA, 409 nt
Filed under: Homo sapiens (human)
Lineage: Eukaryota; Metazoa; Chordata; Mammalia; Primates; Hominidae
Description: HSALNT0380566
Source: RNAcentral
ACUUUCCUCAGUAGAUUGCCUUGUCCACCAGAGUGACCUGAAGAUUGGUGAUGGUCUCUCUCCACUUAGAACAAUCCUGCACAUUCAGAGUAUUUCUCACUAGGCACCUGCUAGCACUGGACAGUAUAGUUAGUCUAUGAAGGGCAGAACAGCAUAAAAUAAGCAGAAUUACAAGUUUGAUUAUCAAACUCUCAUUGCUGUCACUCCAAUCAACAACCUUUUGAAGAAGUGCGGAUCUCUCAUUCAUGAGUAUGGAAACUCAGAGAAUUGUGAUGCCUACCAACAUGUUAUGAUGCAGCAAGAAGGCUCUCACCAGAUGGUGGCAUCUUUAUAGUGGACUUUUCAGCCUCCAGAACUAAAGAACAUAUUGCAGAAAAACAGAAUACUUAUUUUAAUCAAUAAUCUAGAG